Molecule: ribosomal RNA, 252 nt
Filed under: uncultured bacterium
Lineage: Bacteria
Description: partial 16S ribosomal RNA
Rfam family: Bacterial small subunit ribosomal RNA
Source: RNAcentral
UACGUGGGGUGCAAGCGUUAAUCGGAAUUACUGGGCGUAAAGCGUGCGCAGGCGGUUAUGCAAGACAGAGGUGAAAUCCCCGGGCUCAACCUGGGAACUGCCUUUGUGACUGCAUGGCUAGAGUACGGUAGAGGGGGAUGGAAUUCCGCGUGUAGCAGUGAAAUGCGUAGAUAUGCGGAGGAACACCGAUGGCGAAGGCAAUCCCUGGACCUGUACUGACGCUCAUGCACGAAAGCGUGGGGAGCAAACAGG